RNAcentral lists this ribosomal RNA (400 nucleotides) under uncultured bacterium. Its description in RNAcentral is "bacterial SSU rRNA". It matches the Rfam family "Bacterial small subunit ribosomal RNA", at positions 30 to 429 of the family's 1533-position model. The record is from RNAcentral.
AUUGAACGCUGGCGGCAUGCUUUACACAUGCAAGUCGAACGGCAGCGCGGGGGCAACCCUGGCGGCGAGUGGCGAACGGGUGAGUAAUAUAUCGGAACGUACCCAGAAGUGGGGGAUAACGUAGCGAAAGUUACGCUAAUACCGCAUACGAUCUACGGAUGAAAGUGGGGGACCUUCGGGCCUCAUGCUUUUGGAGCGGCCGAUAUCUGAUUAGCUAGUUGGUGAGGUAAAGGCUCACCAAGGCGACGAUCAGUAGCUGGUCUGAGAGGACGACCAGCCACACUGGAACUGAGACACGGUCCAGACUCCUACGGGAGGCAGCAGGUGGGGUAAUUUUGGACAAGUGGGGGGCAACCCUGAUCCAGCAAUGCCGCGUGAGUGAAGAAGGCCUUGGUGUAAG